This is a long non-coding RNA of Gigantopelta aegis, 408 nucleotides long. RefSeq lists it as uncharacterized. The transcript has 3 exons. The record is from RefSeq and is a predicted model, not a curated record. Lineage: Eukaryota; Metazoa; Mollusca; Gastropoda; Neomphalida; Peltospiridae.
ACCAGCUCACGGUUCAUAAAAGAGAUAUUGUAUUUAUAAUCUAGUUUUUCAACGCGCUGUAUUUAGAGAGAGAGACGUCUUGUGGCAUCAUGAUGAAGAAGGUUGCAGUGCUCAUCUUGUUUGCGUCUGUGCUGUGUUUACUGGCAGUGUUGACUGACGGCUGUGCGACUGUCCACUGUAAGAGCACAGACGAUGACUUCCACUGCCUUAACAGAACGGAAUGUUCCGGAUGCUCUUUCGGAGCUCACUGUGUCCACCUCGGCGGGGGCCACCAUCGCUGUGACUGUCUAAACCCCGACGUCUAACACGACCCAGAUGUCCGAGUCCAUGCAGUAAGUCACUGAGAAACCUUCUUGUGGUGUAUUGUUGGACGCUGGAAAAUGAGUGCAAUAAUAUCUGUUCAAAGAA